Molecule: ribosomal RNA, 481 nt
Filed under: uncultured bacterium
Lineage: Bacteria
Description: partial 16S ribosomal RNA
Rfam family: Bacterial small subunit ribosomal RNA
Source: RNAcentral
GAUGAACGCUGGCGGCGUGCUUAACACAUGCAAGUCGAACGAAACACCUUAUUUGAUUUUCUUCGGAACUGAAGAUUUGGUGAUUGAGUGGCGGACGGGUGCGUAACGCGUGGGUAACCUGCCCUGUACAGGGGGAUAACAGUCAGAAAUGACUGCUAAUACCGCAUAAGACCACAGCACCGCAUGGUGCAGGGGUGAAAACUCCGGUGGUACAGGAUGGACCCGCGUCUGAUUAGCUGGUUGGUGAGGUAACGGCUCACCAAGGCGACGAUCAGUAGCCGGCUUGAGAGAGUGAACGGCCACAUUGGGACUGAGACACGGCCCAAACUCCUACGGGAGGCAGCAGUGGGGAAUAUUGCACAAUGGGGGAAACCCUGAUGCAGCGACGCCGCGUGAGUGAAGAAGUAUUUCGGGAUGUAAAGCUCUAUCAGCAGGGAAGAAAAUGACGGUACCUGACUAAGAAGCCCCGGCUAACUACGUG